Molecule: ribosomal RNA, 492 nt
Filed under: uncultured bacterium
Lineage: Bacteria
Description: bacterial SSU rRNA
Rfam family: Bacterial small subunit ribosomal RNA
Source: RNAcentral
AAAUGAAUAGACGGGGACUCGCACAAGCGGUGGAGCAUGCGGUUUAAUUCGAUGCAACGCGAAGAACCUUACCAGGUCUUGACAUACUGUUGCUGGGGUUAGAGAUAAUCCGUUUCUUCGGAACAACAGAUACAGGUGGUGCAUGGUUGUCGUCAGCUCGUGUCGUGAGAUGUUGGGUUAAGUCCCGCAACGAGCGCAACCCUUAUCAUUAGUUGCUAACAGUAAGAUGAGCACUCUAAUGAGACCGCCGGCGCAAGCCGGAUGAAGGUGGGGAUGACGUCAAAUCAUCAUGCCCCUUAUGACCUGGGCUACACGCGUGCUACAAUGGCUAGUACAAAGAGUUGCGAAGCCGCGAGGUGGAGCUAAUCUCACAAAGCUAGUCUCAGUUCGGAUUGUAGUCUGCAACUCGACUACAUGAAGUUGGAAUCGCUAGUAAUCGUGAAUCAGCAUGUCACGGUGAAUACGUUCUCGAGUCUUGUACACACCGCCCGU